This 433-nucleotide ribosomal RNA is filed under the name uncultured Asaccharobacter sp. RNAcentral describes it as "partial 16S ribosomal RNA". It matches the Rfam family "Bacterial small subunit ribosomal RNA", at positions 341 to 792 of the family's 1533-position model. Lineage: Bacteria; Bacillati; Actinomycetota; Coriobacteriia; Eggerthellales; Eggerthellaceae. The record is from RNAcentral.
ACGGGAGGCAGCAGUGGGGAAUUUUGCGCAAUGGGGGGAACCCUGACGCAGCAACGCCGCGUGCGGGAUGGAGGCCUUCGGGUUGUAAACCGCUUUCAGCAGGGAAGACAACGACGGUACCUGCAGAAGAAGCUCCGGCUAACUACGUGCCAGCAGCCGCGGUAAUACGUAGGGGGCGAGCGUUAUCCGGAUUCAUUGGGCGUAAAGCGCGCGUAGGCGGCUGCCUAAGCGGAGUUUCUAACCUUGGGGCUCAACCUCAAGCCGGACUCCGAACUGGGCGGCUCGAGUGCGGUAGGGGCAGGCGGAAUUCCAAGUGUAGCGGUGAAAUGCGCAGAUAUUUGGAGGAACACCGAUGGCGAAGGCAGCCUGCUGGGCCGUCACUGACGCUGAGGCGCGAAAGCUGGGGGAGCGAACAGGAUUAGAUACCCUGGUA